RNAcentral lists this ribosomal RNA (374 nucleotides) under uncultured organism. RNAcentral describes it as "partial 16S ribosomal RNA". It matches the Rfam family "Bacterial small subunit ribosomal RNA", at positions 527 to 896 of the family's 1533-position model. The record is from RNAcentral.
GUAGGUGGCAAGCGUUGUCCGGAAUUAUUGGGCGUAAAGCGCGCGCAGGUGGGUUCUUUAAGUCUGAUGUGAAAGCCCCCGGGCUCAACCGGGGAGGGUCAUUGGAAACUGGGGGAACUUGAGUGCAGGAGAGGAAGGUGGAAUUCCACGUGUAGCGGUGAAAUGCGUAGAUAUGUGGAGGAACACCAGUGGCGAAGGCGACUUUCUGGCCUGUAACUGACACUGAGGCGCGAAAGCGUGGGGAGCAAACAGGAUUAGAUACCCUGGUAGUCCACGCCGUAAACGAUGAGUGCUAAGUGUUGGGGGGUUUCCGCCCCUCAGUGCUGCAGCUAACGCAUUAAGCACUCCGCCUGGGGAGUACGGUCGCAAGACUG